This 253-nucleotide ribosomal RNA is filed under the name uncultured bacterium. RNAcentral describes it as "partial 16S ribosomal RNA". It matches the Rfam family "Bacterial small subunit ribosomal RNA", at positions 524 to 776 of the family's 1533-position model. The record is from RNAcentral.
UACGAAGGGGGCUAGCGUUGUUCGGAAUUACUGGGCGUAAAGGGCGCGUAGGCGGUGUGUCAAGUCAGGCGUGAAAGCCCCGGGCUCAACCUGGGAACCGCGCUUGAGACUGGCACGCUCGAGUUCGGGAGAGGAUGGUGGAAUUCCCAGUGCAGAGGUGAAAUUCGUAGAUAUUAGGAAGAACACCGGUGGCGAAGGCGGCCCACUGGUCCGGUACUGACGCUGAGGUGCGAAAGCGUGGGGAGCAAACAGG